This 433-nucleotide ribosomal RNA is filed under the name uncultured bacterium. RNAcentral describes it as "partial 16S ribosomal RNA". It matches the Rfam family "Bacterial small subunit ribosomal RNA", at positions 29 to 507 of the family's 1533-position model. The record is from RNAcentral.
AACGAACGCUGGCGGCAUGCCUAACACAUGCAAGUCGAACGAGACGUUCGGGCCUAGUGGCGCACGUGUGCGUAACACGUGGUAAGUUGCACGUAGGUUAGGAAUACCUCACUGAAGGGGAUGUUCAUAACGGAUAGUGUCAUCGGACCUAAGAUUUCUUGCUUUGGGAUGGGCGUGGGUUGGAUUCGCUAGUUGGUAGGGUAAAAGCGUAUCAAGGGCAUGAUGCAUGGCUGGUCGGUGAGGAGGACCAGCCACGCUUGGGCUGAGGCACGGCCCAGACUCCGACGGAAGGGUGCAGAAGGGAAUAUUAGACGAGGAGCGAAAGCCUAAUCCAGCCAUGCCGGGUGAGAGAUGAAUGCCUUAGGAUUGUAAUGCUCCUUUUGCCGAGAUGAUAAUGACAGUACCGGGAGAAUAAGCACCGGCUAACUACGUG